Molecule: ribosomal RNA, 567 nt
Filed under: Triticum aestivum (bread wheat)
Lineage: Eukaryota; Viridiplantae; Streptophyta; Magnoliopsida; Poales; Poaceae
Description: partial small subunit ribosomal RNA
Source: RNAcentral
AUGAGCCGGAGCUCCCGGUUCGAGCUCGUGGCGGCGUUCUGGCUGGCCCGCACGGCGGCGCUCGGGUACGGCGCCGACGAGGAAGUGUGGCUGUCCUUCAUCGUGAACGCGCGCGGCCGCCGCGAUGUGCCGCUUCUGGAGGGCUUCUACGGGAACGCGUUCGCCUACUCCGUGGCGGCGACCACGGCCGGGGAGCUGUGCGCGGGUGGGCUGGGCUACGCGCUGGAGCUGGUGAAGAAGGCCAAGUCGGCCGUGACGUACGACUACCUGUUGUCGGUGGCGGACCUGAUGGUGCUCCGGGGGCGGCCGCUGUUCACGCUGUCACGGGCGUACAUCGUGUCGGACGUGAGCCACACCGGGUUCAAGAGCGUGGACUUCGGGUGGGGCGAGGCGGUGUACGGCGGGCCGGCCAAGGGCGGCGAGGGGCUGAUCCCCGCCGUAACCAACUACUUCUCCAGGUCCAAGAACGGCAAGGGGGAAGAGGGCACCGUGGUGCCCAUCAGCCUGCCCAAGGACGCCAUGGACAAGUUCCAGCUCGAGGUCGAAGGCCUCACCGCCGAGAUCUAA